Non-coding RNA from Echinostoma caproni, 45 nucleotides. Lineage: Eukaryota; Metazoa; Platyhelminthes; Trematoda; Plagiorchiida; Echinostomatidae. The record is from Rfam.
GCACUGCUGACGAGUCCCGAACUGAACGAAACAGCUGUCCAGUGC